RNAcentral lists this ribosomal RNA (243 nucleotides) under uncultured bacterium. RNAcentral describes it as "partial 16S ribosomal RNA". It matches the Rfam family "Bacterial small subunit ribosomal RNA", at positions 333 to 575 of the family's 1533-position model. The record is from RNAcentral.
GAACCUACGGGGGGCAGCAGUGAGGAAUAUUGGUCAAUGGGCGGGAGCCUGAACCAGCCAAGCCGCGUGAGGGAAGAAGGUACAGCGUAUCGUAAACCUCUUUUGUCAGGGAACAAAGGCGGGGACUAGUCCCCGGAUGAGGGUACCUGAAGAAAAAGCAUCGGCUAACUCCGUGCCAGCAGCCGCGGUAAUACGUAGGGGGCAAGCGUUAUCCGGAUUUACUGGGUGUAAAGGGUGCGCAGG